UUGGAUAACCGUGGUAAUUCUAGAGCUAAUACAUGCUAAAAACCCCAACUUCGGGAGGGGUGUAUUUAUUAGAUAAAAAACCAACGCCCUUCGGGGCUUCUUGGUGAUUCAUGAUAACUUCACGGAUCGCAUGGCCUUGCGCCGGCGACGGUUCAUUCAAAUUUCUGCCCUAUCAACUUUCGAUGGUAAGGUAUUGGCUUACCAUGGUUUCAACGGGUAACGGGGAAUUAGGGUUCGAUUCCGGAGAGGGAGCCUGAGAAACGGCUACCACAUCCAAGGAAGGCAGCAGGCGCGCAAAUUACCCAAUCCCGACACGGGGAGGUAGUGACAAUAAAUACUGAUACAGGGCUCUUUUGGGUCUUGUAAUUGGAAUGAGUACAAUUUAAACCUCUUAACGAGGAACAAUUGGAGGGCAAGUCUGGUGCCAGCAGCCGCGGUAAUUCCAGCUCCAAUAGCGUAUAUUAAAGUUGUUGCAGUUAAAAAGCUCGUAGUUGAAACUUGGGUCUGGCUGGCAGGUCCGCCUCACCGCGUGUACUUGUCCGGCCGGGCCUUUCCUUCUGGAGAACCUCAUGCCCUUCACUGGGCGUGUUGGGGAACCAGGACUUUUACUUUGAAAAAAUUAGAGUGUUCAAAGCAGGCCUUUGCUCGAAUACGUUAGCAUGGAAUAAUAGAAUAGGACGUGCGGUCCUAUUUUGUUGGUUUCUAGGACCGCCGUAAUGAUUAAUAGGGACAGUCGGGGGCAUCAGUAUUCAAUUGUCAGAGGUGAAAUUCUUGGAUUUAUUGAAGACUAACUACUGCGAAAGCAUUUGCCAAGGAUGUUUUCAUUAAUCAGUGAACGAAAGUUAGGGGAUCGAAGACGAUCAGAUACCGUCGUAGUCUUAACCGUAAACUAUGCCGACUAGGGAUCGGG
This 910-nucleotide ribosomal RNA is filed under the name Thyrostroma robiniae. RNAcentral's name for it is "SSU rRNA". It matches the Rfam family "Eukaryotic small subunit ribosomal RNA", at positions 139 to 1057 of the family's 1831-position model. Lineage: Eukaryota; Fungi; Ascomycota; Dothideomycetes. The record is from RNAcentral.